AAUACUUAGGAAUCUGCCCAUUAAUGGGGGACAACGUUUCGAAAGGAACGCUAAUACCGCAUACGUCCUACGGGAGAAAGUGGGGGAUCUUCGGACCUUGCGUUAAUGGAUGAGCCUAAGUCGGAUUAGCUAGUUGGUGGGGUAAAGGCCUACCAAGGCGACGAUCUGUAGCGGGUCUGAGAGGAUGAUCCGCCACACUGGGACUGAGACACGGCCCAGACUCCUACGGGAGGCAGCAGUGGGGAAUAUUGGACAAUGGGGGGAACCCUGAUCCAGCCAUGCCACGUGUGUGAAGAAGGCCUUUUGGUUGUAAAGCACUUUAAGCGAGGAGGAGGCUACUAGUAUUAAUACUACUGGAUAGUGGACGUUACUCGCAGAAUAAGCACCGGCUAACUCUGUGCCAGCAGCCGCGGUAAUACAGAGGGCGCGAGCGUUAAUCGGAUUUACUGGGCGUAAAGCGUGCGUAGGUGGCCAAUUAAGUCAAAUGUGAAAUCCCCGAGCUUAACUUGGGAAUUGCAUUCGAUACUGGUUGGCUAGAGUAUGGGAGAGGAUGGUAGAAUUCCAGGUGUAGCGGUGAAAUGCGUAGAGAUCUGGAGG
RNAcentral lists this ribosomal RNA (597 nucleotides) under uncultured bacterium. RNAcentral's name for it is "bacterial SSU rRNA". It matches the Rfam family "Bacterial small subunit ribosomal RNA", at positions 112 to 704 of the family's 1533-position model. The record is from RNAcentral.